GACGAACGCUGGCGGCGUGCUUAACACAUGCAAGUCGAACGGUGAACGAGGGAGCUUGCUCCCUCCGGAUCAGUGGCGAACGGGUGAGUAACACGUGAGCAAUCUGCCCCGAACUCUGGGAUAAGCGUUGGAAACGACGUCUAAUACCGGAUACGACGCGGGAGGGCAUCCUCUCCGCGUGGAAAGAACUUCGGUUCGGGAUGAGCUCGCGGCCUAUCAGCUUGUUGGUGAGGUAACGGCUCACCAAGGCGACGACGGGUAGCCGGCCUGAGAGGGUGACCGGGCACACUGGGACUGAGACACGGCCCAGACUCCUACGGGAGGCAGCAGUGGGGAAUAUUGCACAAUGGGCGCAAGCCUGAUGCAGCAACGCCGCGUGAGGGACGACGGCCUUCGGGUUGUAAACCUCUUUUAGCAGGGAAGAAGCGAAAGUGACGGUACCUGCAGAAAAAGCACCGGCUAACUACGUG
This 470-nucleotide ribosomal RNA is filed under the name uncultured bacterium. RNAcentral's name for it is "partial 16S ribosomal RNA". It matches the Rfam family "Bacterial small subunit ribosomal RNA", at positions 28 to 507 of the family's 1533-position model. The record is from RNAcentral.